Molecule: transfer RNA, 103 nt
Filed under: Hermanssonia centrifuga
Lineage: Eukaryota; Fungi; Basidiomycota; Agaricomycetes; Polyporales; Meruliaceae
Description: Phlebia centrifuga tRNA
Rfam family: tRNA
About the family: Transfer RNA (tRNA) molecules are approximately 80 nucleotides in length.
Source: Rfam by way of RNAcentral
GCCCGCCUAGCUCAAUCGGAUAGAGCGUCAGACUCUUAAAUGAGUGCGGGUUACGUUGUCGAUUGACAUCUGAAGGCUGCGAGUUCGACCCUCGCGGUGGGCU